UUUAAAUAAACGCGCAGCAUGGAAGACAGUUAAAAGGUUAAAAGGUUAAAAUCGCUAUUCGAAAUGAAUAUAUUCGGUAAUACAUUCUCGCGUGUAAUUGUGAAACAAUUGUUUGACUGGACAGCUAACAUGAUCGUACUUACAUACUGCAACAAAAAUAAUUUAUUUUUUCCGAACUACUGCAAAUCGUGAAGAAAUUUAUAGACCUCCGAGGAUAUCUCAACAUUCAAAAUAUAAUUUGAAAUGAAAAUCAAGAAAAAGAAUAUUCAAAGUUGAAUGCUUAUCAAAAAACAAUGAAUUAUUUUAUAAUAUGCAUGAAGCGCGUUUUGAGAAGUCAAAUGUUCUACGUAUGUGUAAUUAAAAUAAUUACAUUUUAAACUGCAGUAAUUUCAUCGAAUAUUAUUCAUCAGGAUAUAUAAAAAUAAACAGAAAACGACGUUUGCAACCAAAAUUCAACAUAAAAAAUGUCAUAAAAUCCAGUAAAAAGCCAUUAACUGCAAUUUUACAAAAACAUCCUCGUGUAACAAGAGAACAUACUGAUUUCGAUAAAUAUCCCUACAAAAUGACGUGUCCAAAUUGUUUAAGUUAUAUCAUCACCGACACGCGCAUUCACAAUACUCUUGUAACACAUUCUGUAGCUGCUUGUUUAUUUCCUGUUUGUCUAUGUAUGCUACCAUAUUGCACUGAUGAAUUCAAAGAUACAACACAUUAUUGCCCCAACUGUAAAAUUUACUUAGGAACAAAAUUCGGAGCCGGAAGAAAAUUAUGCCGUUUCUUAAAAUUAAAUGAAAUAUUUGUUUGAUUAAUGCUAACAUUAAACAUUGAUCAAAUAUCGAUUUGUACGAGUAUUAUUGACUCCCGCCUGUAUUUAUAAACAAUAUUCACAAAAAUCAAAUCUAAACUAAAGAAUUGAA
RNA transcript from Osmia lignaria (orchard mason bee), 914 nucleotides. It is a transcript of the gene named lipopolysaccharide-induced tumor necrosis factor-alpha factor homolog, with no coding region annotated. Lineage: Eukaryota; Metazoa; Arthropoda; Insecta; Hymenoptera; Megachilidae. The record is from RefSeq and is a predicted model, not a curated record.